CUGACCUCAAAUCAGGUAGGACUACCCGCUGAACUUAAGCAUAUCAAUAAGCGGGAGGGAA
This 61-nucleotide ribosomal RNA is filed under the name Waitea circinata. RNAcentral describes it as "partial 28S ribosomal RNA". The record is from RNAcentral. Lineage: Eukaryota; Fungi; Basidiomycota; Agaricomycetes; Corticiales; Corticiaceae.